This 857-nucleotide ribosomal RNA is filed under the name uncultured Chloroflexota bacterium. RNAcentral describes it as "bacterial SSU rRNA". It matches the Rfam family "Bacterial small subunit ribosomal RNA", at positions 512 to 1379 of the family's 1533-position model. The record is from RNAcentral. Lineage: Bacteria; Bacillati; Chloroflexota.
CAGCCGCGGUAAGACGUAGGACGCGAGCGUUAUCCGGAUUUACUGGGCGUAAAGCGCCUGCAGGCGGUCAGGUAAGUCGGUUGUGAAAGCCCCGUGCUCAACGCGGGGAGGCCAAGCGAUACUGCGUGACUUGAGGGCGGAAGAGGGGAGUGGAAUUCCCGGUGUAGCGGUAAAAUGCGCAGAUAUCGGGAGGAACACCAGUGGCGAAGGCGGCUCCCUGGACCGCACCUGACGCUCAGAGGCGAAAGCUAGGGGAGCGAACAGGAUUAGAGACCCUGGUAGUCCUAGCCCUAAACGCUGGAUGCUAGGUGUAGGGCUGAUGAGGCUCUGUGCCGGAGCGAACGCGAUAAGCAUCCCGCCUGGGAACUACGGCCGCAAGGCUAAAACUCAAACGAAUUGACGGGGACCCGCACAAGCAGCGGAGCGUGUGGUUUAAUUCGAUGCUACACGAAGAACCUUACCUGGGUUUGACAUGCUGGUGGUACCGAACCGAAAGGGGAGGGACCCUUCGGGGAGCCAACACAGGUGCUGCAUGGCUGUCGUCAGCUCGUGCCGUGAGGUGUCGGGUUAAGUCCCGUAACGAGCGCAACCCUUGCUCUUAGUUAUACGUGUCUAAGGGGACUGCCGGCGACAAGCCGGAGGAAGGUGGGGAUGACGUCAAGUCAGCAUGGCCUUGAUAUCCAGGGCUACACACACGCUACAAUGGCCGGUACAAAGGGCAGCCAAGCCGCGAGGUGGAGGGAAUGGACAGCAUACCACCAAAGCCGGUCCCAGUUGCAGGCUGCAACCCGUCUGCAUGAAGUUGGAGUUGCUAGUAACCGCGCGUCAGCCAUAGUGCGGUGAAUACGUACCCGGGU